Megalobrama amblycephala (Wuchang bream) is the source of this 2566-nucleotide long non-coding RNA. RefSeq lists it as uncharacterized. The record is from RefSeq and is a predicted model, not a curated record. Lineage: Eukaryota; Metazoa; Chordata; Actinopteri; Cypriniformes; Xenocyprididae. The transcript has 5 exons.
GAGAUCUCCGGCUGAACAAAUCAGUACUGCUGAACUGGUACACCUCACAACAGAUUCAGACGAUGAGUCUGAGGUGUGUGUCAAUGUAGCUCCCAGGAAACGAAAAAACAUAGAUGACUCUACACCACACCAAACUCCUCAGGUUAAGCUAAUUAAUGUGACGGGAACCCCAGAUGACGUACACGUCUCAGACACAGGGUUUAUUGAUCUGACGCAGGAUUUUGAAGAACAUGGUCCUAGCACCAGCGAUGCUGAUAGGAUAACAGACGCCCUGCCUACUUACGCAGCAGCGAGAUCUCCGGCUGAACAAAUCAGUACUGCUGAACUGGUACACCUCACAACAGAUUCAGACGAUGAGUCUGAGGUGUGUGUCAAUGUAGCUCCCAGGAAAUGAAAAAACAUAGAUGACUCUACACCACACCAAACUCCUCAGGUUAAGCUAAUUAAUGAUAGAGGCAUCGACUGUGCUGAACAAAUAAUCGACCUCACAUCAGAUUCUGACAUAAAAUCUGACGUCGCUGAGCCUCAGAGGAAGCGGAAAAAACAUAAGAGGAUCUAAUUCACACCAAACUCCACAAGAUAAGACACGUCAGGAGCGCUGAUGAUAUUUUAACAUGGACGGAAUCACAGGUCGUCGAAUGGGAUCGUUCGUCAUGGACCAGUGAUCGAUAUGACGAGGCUACAGUGAGAGCCAGGCAGACGCCAUAUCCUUUUUACAUUGAAAGAACACAAAGAGGAAGAAGAAGAAGUGCGGGAGACGGAGAGCAGAAAUGAUGAGCAGUAUGAUGUUCGGACUCUGGGUCGUGAAAUCAUUAAAAGAUCAGAUGAUGAGGCCAUAGCGAGACGUAACAGCACAACUACCAUUAAUAGGCGUUUUGAUGAACUUAAUAGCAGAUUGGAUGACAUUAAUAUCAGAUUGGAUGGUCACUUCAAAGAGAAUCAAAACAGAAUCGCCUCUGAAUUUUUAGCGAUUCAUAACAAAUUGGAUUACCACUUCCAAAUAAAUUGUGACAGAAUAGCAGAGUUUUUUGAAGUUCAUAACAGAUUGAAGCAUCUUAAUGCAUUGAUUCCUGAAAUAUUAGACCGUUUAUAUCAGAUGAAUCAGUCAUUAGAGGAAUCUCUCCAUAGAUUGCAGACAUGUAUCGAAGAGUAUCAUAAGCAUAUCCUUAGAGAAUUAAAUGAUCAGUUGAGAGAAAGACAAUUAACCGUUAGUCUUCUCAGUGCCAUGGUUACCUGUGUGCAUCCAAGUUAGAAAUGUAUAAUGGAUUAUGUAUUAGUUACAUCUGAUUGUAGUUGUUUUUCAGAACAGAAAUGUCAUAUUUUUCUGAUUGUUGUAUCUUUUAUUUGUUUUUUCUUUAAUUUUGUUUUAUUGCAUAUUAUGUUUUCGCUUUUGAGCUAAAAAAUAAAGAUUAAAAUGGAUGCAGAGAAAUCUUUUUCCAUAGCUGAAGCACCCAAAUGUCAACCAGACCAAACUCUCUCAGACAGAGUAUGCUUGAAAUACAAAAUGCAAAUCCGCAUCUCUUGUGUGAAAGAUUACAACAAUUGAUAAAUUUGUAUCCAGAUUUUGUAGAAACAACUUUUAAUGAUGUACCAUUACAGCAAACUUCUAAUUUGGAACAUUUGCAAUCUUCUAUUGACCAGAUUCCCGAUAUUAAUUUGUCCAAACGAUUACAGAAAUUAUUAAACACAUGUAACAUACUAUUAGCACAAGACGGCGGAGCUUUAAAUAAUAGUCACGGAUCAAUAAGUAAUGCAUCUACUGUCACGGCUCAGCCUGCAGCUCUGGUGCGAACUUCAACCAGCAAUGCAGCACCCCCUGAACCCCCUACCGGUACGUCACGACUAACACAGCCAGACAUUGAUACUUUGAUUUGUGAGGGCGGGGAAGUAAAUGGUUGCCGUAUAUUACCAAGACCCCAUUUCAAUAGCAUACAAUACCUAUUCAGCUCCUGAGAGACUGAAACCGAGAGACGCCUUGUUUGGGGGACGCACUAAUGCUUAUAAACUCUAUCACAAAACAGCUGAUGAUGAGAAAAUAAGUUACGUAGAUUUUACAAGCUUAUAUCCUUUCUGUCAGGCUAGGAAAACCUAUCCGAUCGGUCACCCCCAAAUCAUUUUCAAAGCUACCGUUUAUCCGCCCUGCAAAUUACGGCACCCCGUUCUCCCUUACCGAUGUGGCGGGAAACUUAUGUUCCCUUUACGUCGUACGUGCGCUAACGUUCAAAACCAGACAACAAACUGUAGCCAUACGGAUGAAGAGAGGGCCCUCACGGGCUCGACGAAGUUUAGCAUUUUCCUCAAAGGUCAGAUACAUUGUUUCGCGUUUACAUAAAGAAAAGGGAUGGAGACUGGGACUGGGACUGGAGAGUCUUAUUGGUCUGGUUGACAGCUAUGUGACUGCAUGUGACAGCACGCAAUGCAUCCUGGCCCACACCGAAAACAUUGUGAGGAAUUAAAAGACUCUCACUUUGCACAACAAAUCAGUCGUUAAAAGGUUUAAGGUGGUGUAUAAUAAACGUAGACUUUUGUCCGAUUUCACCACUCUUCAGAGUUAUUUUGUAAAAAG